UACGUAGGGGGCUAGCGUUGUCCGGAAUCAUUGGGCGUAAAGAGCGUGUAGGCGGUCCGGUAAGUCCGCUGUGAAAGUCGGGGGCUCAACCCUCGAAUGCCGGUGGAUACUGUCGGGCUAGAGUGCGGAAGAGGCGAGUGGAAUUCCUGGUGUAGCGGUGAAAUGCGCAGAUAUCGGGAGGAACACCAAUUGCGAAGGCAGCUUGCUGGGACGGUACUGACGCUGAGGCGCGAAAGCGUGGGGAGCAAACAGG
Molecule: ribosomal RNA, 253 nt
Filed under: uncultured bacterium
Lineage: Bacteria
Description: partial 16S ribosomal RNA
Rfam family: Bacterial small subunit ribosomal RNA
Source: RNAcentral